Non-coding RNA from Hordeum vulgare subsp. vulgare (domesticated barley), 125 nucleotides. NCBI's taxonomy places the organism in Eukaryota, Viridiplantae, Streptophyta, Magnoliopsida, Poales, Poaceae. The record is from Rfam.
CAUAUACUCCUUUCGUCCGAAAAUACUUGUCGAAGGAAUGAGUAUAUGUAGAUGUAUUUUAUUUUUAGAUACAUCCAUUAUCGUCCAUUUUUGCGACAAUUAAUUCGGAACGAAGGGAGUACAAU